UUUUUUUUUUUUUGGUCAGCAAAAUGAUCAAUUUUCCUGUCACUUUUAAGUUGUGAUGGGCAGGUUUCUGAUACUGAUGGCAGUGUUCAUGAAUAUGCAAAGAAAUAAAAGUAAGGAAGUUCAGUAUCACUUCCAUACUUGGCGUGUAUGCACUUUUCUUACAGAAUGGCCUAUAACAUAACUAUUUACUGAUGCUACUAGAUGAGUGUCUGCUGAACUUGGAAUUGAUUUCUGGAAGCCAUGGGACAAGAAUGCCUGCUCUGACACCCAGUGUCAUGAAUAGAUUUGCUUAGUUCUGCAACACUUAAUUAGCUUACCUGAUUUUAGACAGACAUGACAUUUACACUGUGAGGUUUGCACUCUAGCUCAAUAGGUGAAUCAGCUAGCUGAGCUGUGGUAAGACUCUACUACAGUGCUCUUUCUGAAAUUAUGCAUCUAAAUUGCAGAAGGUCUCAAACUAAUUACUCUUUUUAUCCAGCAGUGUUGUCAGAAACAAAGUGACAAGUGCAGGUAUUAUUAAAUAUGCUAUUCACCUAUUAUCUGUUUAAAAAACCAAAACAACAACAGCAACAACAAAAAAACAAUCCUUAUAAAACAAACCUCAAAGUCAACACACAUCAAAUACAAAUUCUUUAACUAUCAGCUAGUGUAACCUGUAGUCCUGGUAACCUGUAGCUACAGGUUUGAUGCAAGAUACUCUGAACACUUGAUUAGCAUCCUAGAUUUCUAUUGAUUUACAGAGGAUUGAAAUAGGCUUUUGUGUUUAGUCCUAGCAACCUUAAACUAUGUAAGGUUUUUGGCUCACUCAGUCUUCUUCACGCUUGAAUUGACAUUUUCUUAGGCUUGGAAAAGUACUUUUUCACAUCUAUUUAACUAUUGUUGUUUCACAACUAUUCAACAUCUUUGUUUGCAGUGUGGGCAGUGGGAUUGAAUGCAAAUUCAUCAAGUUUGCAUUCAACUUACUGGAGGGAAGAGGUGCCAUCCAGAGAGACCCGAACAGGCCUGAGAAUUGGGCUCAUGUAAACCUCUUGAAGUUCAACAAGGGCCAAGUGCAAGGUUCUGCACCUGGGUUGGGUCAAUCCCAAGUACAAAUACAGCCUAGGCAGAGAUUGGUUUGAGAGCAGCUCUGACGAAAAGGUCUUGGGAUACUGGGUGAUGAGAAACUCAACAGGAGCUGACAGUAUGCACUUGCAACCCAGAAAACCAACCGUAUCAUGUAUUGCAUCAAAAGAAUUGUAGCCAGCAGGUCAAGGAAGAUGAUGCUUCCUAGUCUCUCACUUACCUGCAGUCCUGCAUUUAGCUCUGGGGCUACCAUGAUAAGAAGUGCAUGGAGCUCCUGAAGCAGGUUCAGAGGAGGAUCACAAAGAUGAUCAGAGGGCUGGAGCACCUCUCCUAUACAGGCAGGCUGAGAGAGCUGGGGUUCAGCCUGGAGAAGAGAAGAAUCCUGAGAGACCUUACUGUGGCCUUCCAGUUUCUAAAGAGGGCCUACAAGAAAGCUGGGGAGGUUCUUGUUAUUAGGGAAUGUAGUGCUAUAACAGGGGAUAAUUAAUUUAAACUAAAAAAGGGGAGAUGUAGACUAGAUGUUAGAUGGAGUUUUUUAAAUCAGAAGGUCACAAGGCACUGGAACAGGCUGCCCAGAGAAGCUGAGGAUGACCCCUCCCUGGAAGUGUUCAAAGCUAGGUUGGAUGAGGCUUUGGGCAAUUAGGUCUAAUGGAAAGAGUUCCUGUACAUGGCAGGGGUUUGGAACUAGAUGAUACUUAGGGUCUAUUCCAACCUAAAUCAUUCUAAGAUUCUAGGAAAAGCUGCUUGUUUGAGCAACAGGGAAAACAAUGGUAUAUAGUAGAUUAAGAAGCUUCUCCAUCUAAAAUUGCUUGAGACCAAAUUCUGGAUUAACACAUUCCUUCUGUAUACAGUACAGGUGAAAUUUAGGGAAUAAUAAUGAAUCCAUAGCUGAUGACAAUUUUAUGUAAAGUAAGAUUUCUUUUAAGGGAAAUGAGUAGUGUUCCAGUUUAUAUGCUUCAGUGGUUAGCAGAGAUCUACAGCCAUGGGGAUGAGAGUGACGUAGUGUGGAUAGCAAUGAAGCAAAGCAGUAAGGGGAAACAAUAGGAUGACCAAACACUGGUAAACAUCAUCAGGAGCAAAAGAUAAACUCAUUAUUUACCUGGAGCUGCUGGAGUGGAAGAACAAGAGAAGUUGUAGUCUUUCUCUCAGAGAGGAAAAG
This is a long non-coding RNA of Gallus gallus (chicken), 2221 nucleotides long. The record is from Ensembl. NCBI's taxonomy places the organism in Eukaryota, Metazoa, Chordata, Aves, Galliformes, Phasianidae.